GUGAAUCAUCGAAUUUUUGAACGCAAAUUGCGCUUCCUGGCAUCCCGGGAAGUAUGCCUGUUUGAGGGUCAGUAUUAACAAAAAAUCGGUUUGGUUGCAAAUUGUGACGUUUCCGGUGUUUGCGCUAUCUUAACUUUUUUGGUUAAGGGGCUUAAAAUUGACCUUAUUUGCGCAUUUUUAGACGUACAUAAAUUUUUUUUUAAUCGGCCUUUCCUCAAUCCAAACUCUUCAUUGUUUCC
Molecule: unclassified non-coding RNA, 239 nt
Filed under: Rhizophagus sp. (in: glomeromycetes)
Lineage: Eukaryota; Fungi; Glomeromycota; Glomeromycetes; Glomerales; Glomeraceae
Description: partial contains 5.8S ribosomal RNA and internal transcribed spacer 2
Rfam family: 5.8S ribosomal RNA (bases 1-71)
Source: RNAcentral